UCCCUGGCAUUCGCGUGCGCCAUGUGAUAGAAUGGCCUCGCCGCUCUCGGGCGGCUAUGGCGAUAAACGCACUGUGAAAUAGACGCUACGGACCCGGGGGCAGUACCCGGCGCCUCCACCAAAUCUCAGUCUUAGGGGGGCGAUUCAGGCUCGACGUGCGUGAUAAAGACAGACGCUUUUGCUCGGCAUGGUACCACCGCAUCGGGCCAUACUCACAAAUGCCAACGACAACGUUGAGCACGAGGUCCGCAUGGCCGCCUAACCCUUCGAAUGAAGGUAGUAAGUGGUAAGCGUAACUCGCGGUUCGGGGGGCACCGGGCAACAGAAGCCCCCCACU
This 337-nucleotide transfer-messenger RNA is filed under the name Alphaproteobacteria bacterium. It matches the Rfam family "Alphaproteobacteria transfer-messenger RNA". Rfam says of the family: Bacterial tmRNA, also known as 10Sa RNA or SsrA, is named for its dual tRNA and mRNA-like properties. Its role is to liberate the mRNA from a stalled ribosome. To accomplish this part of the tmRNA is used as a reading frame that ends in a translation stop signal. Lineage: Bacteria; Pseudomonadati; Pseudomonadota; Alphaproteobacteria. The record is from RNAcentral.